Molecule: long non-coding RNA, 380 nt
Organism: Gallus gallus (chicken)
Lineage: Eukaryota; Metazoa; Chordata; Aves; Galliformes; Phasianidae
Source: Ensembl
CAGCUUUCAGGAAGAUGUAUUUGGCAAGUAUCCACAGAAGGAGACUUCUAAGGGAAAGUUAUUGCUCUCUUAGAUGCCUGCAAGAAAAGCUUGCAGAAGGCAGUGAGUGAAGGAAGGGAGCAGCACUUUGCACUUUAAGAGGGUGGAAUUGCCAGGUCAUGGCCUGAACCAAUGGUUGAGCACCAGGCAAGAAGGCAUGGCUAACCCAGGGAGCUCAGGUGCAAGCAAUGCACUCCUCCUGAGCUGUCACUUGCUGUCAGAAAGGGAGAGGUGCUCCAGCCCUCAUCGUCUUAGUGGCCCUCCUCUGGACCCAUUCCAAGAGCUCCACGUCCUUCCUCUACUGGUGGCCCCAGGCCUGGACACAGUACUGCAGAUGGGAC